CACGGCCCCACACGGAUCGGGGGCCGCAGCUGCUCGGCCCGAGGGGCGGCGCUGGCGGCGGGCGGGGCCUGCGUGGAGUCACCCACAGCCCCGUCGGCCCGAAGGGAAGGAAAUUGGCUCUUUUCCCGACGGUAGGGCCAAGCCUGCCUAGUACCGAGGGCUCGGGAUUGAAGGCUGCUGCUUUGGAAACAUCAUCGGUCAGAAGGAGAGUACUUGGAAGAAGAACAAACUACUCCUCCGUUUGAACAAACAUCCUCAGUUGUGAACUGAAGUGAGCAAUUAAAUAAAUAGAAGAUAAACACUCA
Vidua macroura (Pin-tailed whydah) is the source of this 305-nucleotide long non-coding RNA. RefSeq lists it as uncharacterized. The transcript is spliced from 2 exons. Lineage: Eukaryota; Metazoa; Chordata; Aves; Passeriformes; Viduidae. The record is from RefSeq and is a predicted model, not a curated record.